This 73-nucleotide microRNA precursor is filed under the name Myotis davidii. RNAcentral's name for it is "mir-9193 microRNA precursor family". It matches the Rfam family "mir-9193 microRNA precursor family". The record is from Rfam by way of RNAcentral. Lineage: Eukaryota; Metazoa; Chordata; Mammalia; Chiroptera; Vespertilionidae.
CGUGGGGGGGGGUGUCCCUCAGCCAGGAUUGCAAGAGGGUGCAGGCCAGGCCAAGGGACACCACUGGUGCACA